Molecule: ribosomal RNA, 1436 nt
Filed under: uncultured organism
Description: SSU rRNA
Rfam family: Bacterial small subunit ribosomal RNA
Source: RNAcentral
UGAUGAACGCUAGCUACAGGCUUAACACAUGCAAGUCGAGGGUCAGCAUGGUCUUAGCUUGCUAAGGCCGAUGGCGACCGGCGCACGGGUGAGUAACACGUAUCCAACCUGCCGUCUACUCUUGGACAGCCUUCUGAAAGGAAGAUUAAUACAAGAUGGCAUCAUGAGUCCGCAUGUUCACAUGAUUAAAGGUAUUCCGGUAGACGAUGGGGAUGCGUUCCAUUAGAUAGUAGGCGGGGUAACGGCCCACCUAGUCUUCGAUGGAUAGGGGUUCUGAGAGGAAGGUCCCCCACAUUGGAACUGAGACACGGUCCAAACUCCUACGGGAGGCAGCAGUGAGGAAUAUUGGUCAAUGGGCGAGAGCCUGAACCAGCCAAGUAGCGUGAAGGAUGACUGCCCUAUGGGUUGUAAACUUCUUUUAUAAAGGAAUAAAGUCGGGUAUGGAUACCCGUUUGCAUGUACUUUAUGAAUAAGGAUCGGCUAACUCCGUGCCAGCAGCCGCGGUAAUACGGAGGAUCCGAGCGUUAUCCGGAUUUAUUGGGUUUAAAGGGAGCGUAGAUGGAUGUUUAAGUCAGUUGUGAAAGUUUGCGGCUCAACCGUAAAAUUGCAGUUGAUACUGGAUAUCUUGAGUGCAGUUGAGGCAGGCGGAAUUCGUGGUGUAGCGGUGAAAUGCUUAGAUAUCACGAAGAACUCCGAUUGCGAAGGCAGCCUGCUAAGCUGCAACUGACAUUGAGGCUCGAAAGUGUGGGUAUCAAACAGGAUUAGAUACCCCGGUAGUCCACACGGUAAACGAUGAAUACUCGCUGUUUGCGAUAUACGGCAAGCGGCCAAGCGAAAGCGUUAAGUAUUCCACCUGGGGAGUACGCCGGCAACGGUGAAACUCAAAGGAAUUGACGGGGGCCCGCACAAGCGGAGGAACAUGUGGCUUAAUUCGAUGAUACGCGAGGAACCUUACCCGGGCUUAAAUUGCAGAUGAAUUACGGUGAAAGCCGUAAGCCGCAAGGCAUCUGUGAAGGUGCUGCAUGGUUGUCGUCAGCUCGUGCCGUGAGGUGUCGGCUUAAGUGCCAUAACGAGCGCAACCCUUGUUGUCAGUUACUAACAGGUUCCGCUGAGGACUCUGACAAGACUGCCAUCGUAAGAUGUGAGGAAGGUGGGGAUGACGUCAAAUCAGCACGGCCCUUACGUCCGGGGCUACACACGUGUUACAAUGGGGGGUACAGAGGGCCGCUACCACGCGAGUGGAUGCCAAUCCCCAAAACCUCUCUCAGUUCGGACUGGAGUCUGCAACCCGACUCCACGAAGCUGGAUUCGCUAGUAAUCGCGCAUCAGCCACGGCGCGGUGAAUACGUUCCCGGGCCUUGUACACACCGCCCGUCAAGCCAUGGGAGCCGGGGGUACCUGAAGUGCGUAACCGCGAGGAGCGCCCUAGGGUAAAA